ACCGGGGCGGGCGUGCUAAUACAUGCAAGUCGAGCGGACAGAUGGGAGCUUGCUCCCUGAUGUUAGCGGCGGACGGGUGAGUAACACGUGGGUAACCUGCCUGUAAGACUGGGAUAACUCCGGGAAACCGGGGCUAAUACCGGAUGCUUGAUUGAACCGCAUGGUUCAAUUAUAAAAGGUGGCUUUUAGCUACCACUUACAAAUGGACCCGCGGCGCAUUAGCUAGUUGGUGAGGUAACGGCUCACCAAGGCAACAAUGCGUAGCCAACCUGAGAGGGUGAUCGGCCACACUGGGACUGAGACACGGCCCAAACUCCUACGGGAGGCAGCAUUAGGGAAUCUUCCGCAAUGGACAAAAGUCUGACGGACCAACCCCCCGUGAGUGAUGAAGGUUUUCGGAUCGUAAAACUCUGUUGUUAGGGAAAAACAAGUACCGUUCAAAUAGGGCGGUACCUUGACGGUACCUAACCAAAAAGCCACGGCUAACUACGUGCCACCACCCGCGGUAAUACUUAGGUGGCAAGCGUUGUCCGGAAUUAUUGGGCGUAAAGCGCGCGCAGGCGGUUUCUUAAUUCUGAUGUGAAAGCCCCCGGCUCAACCGGGGAGGGUCAUUGGAAACUGGGGAACUUGAGUGCAGAAAAGGAAAGUGGAAUUCCACGUGUAGCGGUGAAAUGCUUAGAGAUGUGAAGGAACACCAGUGCCAAAGGCAACUCUCUGGUCUGUAACUGACGCUAAGGCGCGAAAGCGUGGGGAGCGAACAGGAUUAGAUACCCUGGUAUUCCACGCCGUAAACAAUGAAG
This 800-nucleotide ribosomal RNA is filed under the name Bacillus olivae. Its description in RNAcentral is "bacterial SSU rRNA". It matches the Rfam family "Bacterial small subunit ribosomal RNA", at positions 32 to 814 of the family's 1533-position model. Lineage: Bacteria; Bacillati; Bacillota; Bacilli; Caryophanales; Bacillaceae. The record is from RNAcentral.